CAUUACAGAUUCCACAUUGCAGCUAAUCUUCAUUAAACUACCACGUGGUGAAUUUUAAUGUAGUAUCCAAGAAGCAUACUGACACCUUCUCCAUUGUCCUACUAUGUAUCUGUGUAAGGCCAGAUUUUCUUCAUAUACAUUAACCAAAGCAACAUAUGGCAACAGACUGAAUGAAGAGGCAGGUUUCCUGGGACUCUGUUGCAUCAAAUUCUACUGCUAGGCAUCAAUUUUAAAGUAUUUCAUCAGUUGGACCUACCAAAUAUCAAGUCAGGAUUUGGCCAUCUCUGCUCUUGCCAUUCCACCUCUCACGACUCUAUCCUCAAGACCUGGGCUUGGCUGGGAACAAGAGAUUUAAAUCAGACUCUUUUAGGUUUUCCUAAUAAGACUGCUGCAAAUAAGUUGGAUGAUUGUUCGUAACCUCAAGAGAUAUUCUUCAAAUGUGCAGGAUUGAGCCCUAGCUGAAGGCCUCAUCCUUCCAUGCCCUUUGCUUGUCCACCCAUCAACAAGCCAGGAUGAGGAGAAGCAAAGACAGCAGCAUUUACCCACAGAACCCUUUGUUGGCAGAAGCAAAAAUUGAUAGUGGAACACAUGAGGGCAGUUCCACAAGAUCCGUCCAUGAAGAGUCGGAUUUAUCAAGAAAAAUAUUAUUCUUUCGUGAACAAGAAAGAAAACAAGACAAUUUAAAAACAUCUAGAUUAAAGAUGAGCAUGUCAAUUUCAGGUGUAAGUGGCCUCGCAGGAAUGAAAGGCUGUGCUGUCUGUAUACCACUGCACUGUUGCCUCCCUGGAGAACUUUAUGCCUUACCCUGGAAGCACCCUAUCUUCAAAGCAGGGGUGUUUGAAAAUUCAUUCCCAUAACAGUGUGGAGCACAUCGAGAAAGACUGUACUGAAACUUCCAGAUAGAACUUAUGAGGACCCAGACCCAGCAGUGGCUGUGAGGAUGAAGAGGCAAUGGGAUCUGGGACCUCAGAUAGAUCCAAGAAAUAUGCAGCAGUGGGGAUCAACGGCCUUGUAUAGAUCCUUGAUGUUAGAAGGAAAAGUGAGAUGAAUGGGAAAAGAAAACAGUCUUUCAUCAAUUAUGGUUAAGGAUCCCCAAACUGAAACACAUGUGGCUAAACGCCAUUCAUAUCACCAGCCCACACCAGUCUGGUGGUGGGGGAGAGAAGGAAAAAGAGGAGAUAAAUGGCCUACAUGAUUGAUUUCAACUAAGACCCAAAUCUUGGAGAACAAUUAUUGGAUUUACCACUGUUUGUUUUUGCAACAUUUCGGAAAUCGG
This 1276-nucleotide long non-coding RNA is filed under the name Homo sapiens (human). Its description in RNAcentral is "HSALNT0081033". Lineage: Eukaryota; Metazoa; Chordata; Mammalia; Primates; Hominidae. The record is from RNAcentral.